ACUGACUUUCUUCCAACAGUUCAAAGAAUCACUUUAGAGUAGACGUCCCCUUUCUAAACUCUUUAAAAGAGCCACAGAAUCUCCACCCUUGCUGAUGACUACAUGUCCUCGAUGCCCUAAAGUGAAACCUUAUUUACUCCCGCCUCGACUGUCACGCGUGCUGUCCGCAGUGUCUGUGUUUCGGUCCAGGGAGUGGUGAUGAUCUUGACCUGGUCUCGGCGUCUGACUUCGGUCGGUCGGUCCUGGUGGGUGUCGAGGAGGUCUGAAAGGU
Molecule: small nucleolar RNA, 271 nt
Organism: Penicillium coprophilum
Lineage: Eukaryota; Fungi; Ascomycota; Eurotiomycetes; Eurotiales; Aspergillaceae
Rfam family: Fungal small nucleolar RNA U3
About the family: Small nucleolar RNAs (snoRNAs) are involved in the processing and modification of rRNA in the nucleolus. There are two main classes of snoRNAs: the box C/D class, and the box H/ACA class.
Source: Rfam